CUUACAAUGUUUUUUAAUUAUCUAUAAAUUUUAAAAAUUUUAAAAAUAUAAUAAAAAAUUAUAUUACUUGUAAAAUGAUAAAAAGUAAAAGUGAUUCAGAAACAGCUAGGUGAAGUCUGUAAACUUGGACAAGAUGUUUCAGGAAGAAAGAUGUUUCUCCCACUUCCCAGAGAACUGUUCCCCUUCCCGUUCUGUGUAGCAGGCAACGAUCGAAAUUCCAAGACGAAGUUUGCGAGAUUCCAAGGAAAGCACACCAGUCAGCAUGGUCGAGUACUGUCCCUCCUUUGAUGGUACGCCAGAGCAAAAAAAGAAACCGGUCGAGUCGGUACUUACGAAGAGGUUUAGCUUUCAGGGUUCGCGUAUGUAGUUCGAAAAGAAGUUACAACCGUUCUCUCCAACAAAGUCAAAGAACUUUGUUGUAUGGUUUUCUUUGAAGCAAAAUUCAAAUAUAACCGAAAAACAAGUUUUAUACUUAACUGGUUCAAUUGAAAUUAUAAAUGGCUUUGUUAAUUGU
Long non-coding RNA from Apis dorsata (giant honeybee), 514 nucleotides. RefSeq lists it as uncharacterized. The transcript is spliced from 2 exons. NCBI's taxonomy places the organism in Eukaryota, Metazoa, Arthropoda, Insecta, Hymenoptera, Apidae. The record is from RefSeq and is a predicted model, not a curated record.